Molecule: non-coding RNA, 650 nt
Organism: Epinephelus lanceolatus (giant grouper)
Lineage: Eukaryota; Metazoa; Chordata; Actinopteri; Perciformes; Serranidae
Source: RefSeq, a predicted model, not a curated record
CUCACACCGAAAUCUAGAUGGAUAAAUAGCACUACAGAGCCAUGAUGACACAAGGUGCUGUGUAAAGAUGAGCCACCUUUUAAAGGAAACAACAGAGCAGGAAAAAUGAACAGCUUCUUGCUCUGUUUAAAGGAAAUUUAUCUCUAAAGCAACUUAGUUCCAAGCCAAGCUUCUCACCUUUUCAUCUCCUCCUGAUGACACUUUCAGCAUCUCAGUGAUAUAUUUCCUCUACUCAUUAUCCAGUAUCAUCCUCCCUGCCACCAGAUGGCAGCCUGACCACAGCAGCUGCUCCAGCAUGUCCAGCUGGGAUGGCACUCGGCUGAGAGGUGGAGCAUUUAAGGGUAUCAGUAGAUAGGUUGUCUGCCAGAGAGCACUGUGUAUCCCUGGCACCAAUAAACAAGCAAAACAGGACAUUUGUUUCUUUACAAAGGUCGCCUGGAACUGAGUCAUAUUUCAACAUCUAUUCCAGAGGAGUGUCUGCCAAAGUCACAAUAAUGAUUAUGUAAUUUAAAGGAACCCAUGUUGCUGUAACAAACCACUGAACCAUGUCACGUUCAGUGCUUUGAUUUUAAAGUUUAAUGCUAUGACAAUAGUCUAUCAUGUUAUAAGUGUCUAUUUAUCACAAUAAAACAAUAAAAAUAAACAUUUGA